Molecule: ribosomal RNA, 497 nt
Filed under: uncultured bacterium
Lineage: Bacteria
Description: partial 16S ribosomal RNA
Rfam family: Bacterial small subunit ribosomal RNA
Source: RNAcentral
GAUGAACGCUGGCGGCGUGCCUAAUACAUGCAAGUCGAGCGAACAGACGAGGAGCUUGCUCCUUUGACGUUAGCGGCGGACGGGUGAGUAACACGUAGGUAACCUACCUAUAAGACUGGGAUAACUUCGGGAAACCGGAGCUAAUACCGGAUAAUAUUUCGAACCGCAUGGUUCGAUAGUGAAAGAUGGCUUUGCUAUCACUUAUAGAUGGACCUGCGCCGUAUUAGCUAGUUGGUAAGGUAACGGCUUACCAAGGCAACGAUACGUAGCCGACCUGAGAGGAGGAUCGGCCACACUGGAACUGAGACACGGUCCAGACUCCUACGGGAGGCAGCAGUAGGGAAUCUUCCGCAAUGGGCGAAAGCCUGACGGAGCAACGCCGCGUGAGUGAUGAAGGUCUUCGGAUCGUAAAACUCUGUUAUUAGGGAAGAACAAACGUGUAAGUAACUGUGCACGUCUUGACGGUACCUAAUCAGAAAGCCACGGCUAACUACGUG